GGUGAUAUAGCUCAGGGGUAGAGAGUUUGCCUAGUAUGCACAAGGCCCUGGGCUUGAUCCCCAGCACCACUA
RNAcentral lists this transfer RNA (72 nucleotides) under Marmota marmota marmota (Alpine marmot). It matches the Rfam family "tRNA". From Rfam's summary of the family: Transfer RNA (tRNA) molecules are approximately 80 nucleotides in length. Lineage: Eukaryota; Metazoa; Chordata; Mammalia; Rodentia; Sciuridae. The record is from Rfam by way of RNAcentral. RNAcentral also lists the same sequence under 2 other names.